This 325-nucleotide ribosomal RNA is filed under the name uncultured eukaryote. RNAcentral's name for it is "partial 18S ribosomal RNA". It matches the Rfam family "Eukaryotic small subunit ribosomal RNA", at positions 1470 to 1796 of the family's 1831-position model. The record is from RNAcentral.
CCCUUAGAUGUCCUGGGCCGCACGCGCGUUACACUGAUGCAUUCAACGAGCUUAUAACCUUGGCCGAGAGGCCUGGGCAAUCUUGUUAACGUGCAUCGUGAUAGGGAUAGAUUAUUGAAAUUAUUAAUCUUGAACGAGGAAUUCCUAGUAAACGCAGAUCAUCAAUCUGCAUUGAUUACGUCCCUGCCCUUUGUACACACCGCCCGUCGCACCUACCGAUCGAAGAGUUAGGUGAAUUGUUUUGAUCGAUAAGAUUUGACUAUGGUCAACUCUCGUUGUGAAAUUCUGUGAAUCUGACUGUUUAGAGGAAGGAAAAGUCGUAACA